UGGGAUGAGGUGCGGUUGCCAACUUGUACUAUGUAUAAUAUAUCUGUGUGUGUGUGUGUGCGUGUGUGUGCACGUAUAAUACGUUGUGUACGAAGUCGCGCGCACGUUGUAUGUACACGAAACACGGUUUAAUGAUUUAGUAGAGCGACGACCUCUGACCCUGCAACAGGCGUCGGCGUCGACCCGACUAGCAACAGGACUCUGCUGUAACCAGUGGGUCCCUGGAUCCGGCCUCGGUUCUCGAAUUGUAAUCCGUUUUUUUUUUUUUCUCUCUCCACCUUUUUUUUCAUUCAUUUCUUUUUUUCUCUCGGCUGUAAUUCAUCUCGAGUCCGUAUCACGAUCGAUUCGAGAAUCGUUGUUAGCUAGCGUUGUAAAGAAUUGAUGAAACACGAGAAGCGACGCAACUCUGAAAACCAUGAGAUAUAACUUUCAGGCGUCCGGGGAUGGCGAGCUCCGAGAAAAUUGGGGAUUUUUCCGUCAUUUUUCGAAGGACGUUAUGCCGAAUGGGAGGACCGAAAUUCACCGCGAACGCGAUAGACUUCUGUAAUUACGAUGAUCGAUUUGAAUAUUUUCAGGUGGCUCGUAAUACCCGUUAACAAGGAUCGUCGAAGGGGUUAAAAAAUUUUCAGAUUUUACCGGUAACGCACAUGAUGAAUAUGGAGUCGGAGCAAACUUGGCGUGAAAUUGCGUUAGGCGUUCAGAUUCCCCGGAGUGUGAAGAGCGUCGACCAAGGUGAUUGAGCAACGUCGAGCGAAUGGAAGCGAAGAGGAGAAGAGAGGAGACGAGGAGAGGAAAACUCUCCCGACGCCAAGGAGACUCCCCAGGGAUAACUUCGUUACAGGGGUACAACCCGGAUUGAGUCAGCUGAUGAAAAAAGUGCAGAAAUCCACAGAGGGCACCCGCGUGACGGAGAGGAAUAAAAAAGAAGAUCGAAGAGCGAAACUGGGGAAGAAGUGUUUUUCCCCAAACCACGAAAACAACUCGAGAAGGGAGG
Athalia rosae (coleseed sawfly) is the source of this 994-nucleotide long non-coding RNA. RefSeq lists it as uncharacterized. NCBI's taxonomy places the organism in Eukaryota, Metazoa, Arthropoda, Insecta, Hymenoptera, Athaliidae. The transcript is spliced from 2 exons. The record is from RefSeq and is a predicted model, not a curated record.